This 391-nucleotide unclassified non-coding RNA is filed under the name soil metagenome. Its description in RNAcentral is "partial contains 5.8S ribosomal RNA, internal transcribed spacer 2, and large subunit ribosomal RNA". The stretch from base 1 to 122 matches the Rfam family "5.8S ribosomal RNA", at positions 35 to 154 of the family's 154-position model. The record is from RNAcentral.
GAUGAAGAACGCAGCGAAAUGCGAUACUUGGUGUGAAUUGCAGAAUCUCGUGAACCAUCGAGUCUUUGAACGCAAGUUGCGCCCGAAGCCAUUAGGCCGAGGGCACGCCUGCCUGGGCGUCACACGUCGUUGCCCCCCCAUCUACUCCUUCGGGAUUGCGGGGGGCGGAUGAUGGCCUCUCGUGCGCCUCGUCGCGCGGUUGGCCUAAAUGCCAAGUCCUCGGCGACGCACGCCACGACAAUCGGUGGUUGCGAAACCUCGGUUGCCUGUCGUGUGCGGUCGUCGCGCAUCGAGGGCUCGAAAAAAUUGCCGGGCUUCGGCUCGACUUUCAACGCGACCCCAGGUCAGGCGGGGUUACCCGCUGAAUUUAAGCAUAUCAAUAAGCGGAGGA